Non-coding RNA from Anas platyrhynchos (mallard), 725 nucleotides. Lineage: Eukaryota; Metazoa; Chordata; Aves; Anseriformes; Anatidae. The record is from RefSeq and is a predicted model, not a curated record.
UGCUGAGAGACUUGAAGUAUUUCCUGCCAUUUAACUUCUAGAAGCUUCUACUAAUUAUCUUAUGCACUUGAGAUCUUGUCUCACUUUCUGCUAACAUCUCAAAUAAGUAAUGAAAACUCUUAUUUUCUAAAAUGUUUUUAUCAACAAAUAACCAGGAACAUAGGAGUAUUUUUGUUGCUGUUUAGAGAAAUCACAAUGGGCACCGAGGAUCGCUGGCUUACUUCCCACUUUGAAAACUGCCACACACCUUAUCCAAGAAGACAGAUGCAAAACCAGAGUUCCUGAGAAUCAAGCUCCCAGUGAGUAAGUAAACCAGACUUCACUGAGCAUAGAGGACCUUGCCACCUGGUCACCCUUUCCUCCUUUAUAUCUGUCUGGGGAUCUAGCAGAAGAAUAUUCACCUGCUUCCAAACCAUAAUGUUUGGCACACUUCAGAGGCAAGAGAGGCAUGUCUACUUUCCACCUGAAGACCUGGGCAGAGGACCAGACCAACCCACAGAUUUCAGCUGGGGAGAAAGGUCACAGACUCAGCUAGCUUUACUCAAAACAUAGAAACAAGAAGUGAACUUAUGACUGUCAGAUGAUGAUUCUUCCUGAAAUGUUUCUACUCCUGAUAACAAGAGAUGUGGACAGCAAACAAAAUCUGGUGGAGAGUUUACUUAUAUAAUCAAUCGUAAACAAUCUGUACCCUGAAAUACUGAAUAAAUAUGAACUGAAAUAUCAGA